GACGAACGCGGGCGGCGUGCCUAAUACAUGCAAGUAGGACGCACAGUCUAUACCGUAGCUUGCUACACCAUAGGCUUUGAGUUGCGAACGGGUGAGUAACGCGUAGGUAACCUGCCUAUUAGAGGGGGAUAACUAUUGGAAACGAUAGCUAAUACCGCAUAACAGUAUGUAACACAUGUUAGAUGCUUGAAAGAUGCAAUUGCAUCGCUAGUAGAUGGACCUGCGUUGUAUUAGCUAGUAGGUAGGGUAAUGGCCUACCUAGGCAACGAUACAUAGCCGACCUGAGAGGGUGAUCGGCCACACUGGGAUGAGACACGGCCCAGACUCCUACGGGAGGCAGCAGUAGGGAAUCUUCGGCAAUGGGGGGAACCCUGACCGAGCAACGCCGCGUGAGUGAAGAAGGUUUUCGGAUCGUAAAGCUCUGUUGUUAAGGAAGAAACGAAGUGUGA
RNAcentral lists this ribosomal RNA (449 nucleotides) under Streptococcus anginosus. Its description in RNAcentral is "bacterial SSU rRNA". It matches the Rfam family "Bacterial small subunit ribosomal RNA", at positions 28 to 460 of the family's 1533-position model. The record is from RNAcentral. Lineage: Bacteria; Bacillati; Bacillota; Bacilli; Lactobacillales; Streptococcaceae.